This 788-nucleotide ribosomal RNA is filed under the name uncultured bacterium. RNAcentral describes it as "bacterial SSU rRNA". It matches the Rfam family "Bacterial small subunit ribosomal RNA", at positions 9 to 770 of the family's 1533-position model. The record is from RNAcentral.
GAGUUUGAUCCUGGCUCAGAUUGAACGCUGGCGGCAGGCCUAACACAUGCAAGUCGAGCGGAAACGAGUUAACUGAACCUUCGGGGAACGUUAACGGCGUCGAGCGGCGGACGGGUGAGUAAUGCCUGGGAAAUUGCCCUGAUGUGGGGGAUAACCAUUGGAAACGAUGGCUAAUACCGCAUAAUAGCUUCGGCUCAAAGAGGGGGACCUUCGGGCCUCUCGCGUCAGGAUAUGCCCAGGUGGGAUUAGCUAGUUGGUGAGGUAAUGGCUCACCAAGGCGACGAUCCCUAGCUGGUCUGAGAGGAUGAUCAGCCACACUGGAACUGAGACACGGUCCAGACUCCUACGGGAGGCAGCAGUGGGGAAUAUUGCACAAUGGGCGCAAGCCUGAUGCAGCCAUGCCGCGUGUAUGAAGAAGGCCUUCGGGUUGUAAAGUACUUUCAGCAGUGAGGAAGGUGGGUAUGUUAAUAGCAUACUCAUUUGACGUUAGCUGCAGAAGAAGCACCGGCUAACUCCGUGCCAGCAGCCGCGGUAAUACGGAGGGUGCGAGCGUUAAUCGGAAUUACUGGGCGUAAAGCGCAUGCAGGUGGUUUGUUAAGUCAGAUGUGAAAGCCCGGGGCUCAACCUCGGAAUUGCAUUUGAAACUGGGCAAACUAGAGUACUGUAGAGGGGGGGUAGAAUUUCAGGUGUAGCGGUGAAAAUGCGUAGAAGAUCUGAANGANUACCGGUGGCGANGGCGCCCCCCUUGGACAGAUACUGACACUUNNNAUGCGAAAGCGUGGNGNAGA